CAGCCGCCGCGGGAAUACGAAGGGUGCAAGCGUUAAUCGGAAUUACUGGGCGUAAAGCGUGCGUAGGCGGUUUGUUAAGUCUGUUGUGAAAUCCCCGGGCUCAACCUGGGAAUGGCAAUGGAUACUGGCAAGCUAGAGUGUGUCAGAGGAUGGUGGAAUUCCCGGUGUAGCGGUGAAAUGCGUAGAGAUCGGGAGGAACAUCAGUGGCGAAGGCGGCCAUCUGGGGCAACACUGACGCUGAGGCACGAAAGCGUGGGGAGCAAACAGGAUUAGAUACCCCAGUAGUCCCUGUCUCUUAUAC
Molecule: ribosomal RNA, 301 nt
Filed under: uncultured bacterium
Lineage: Bacteria
Description: partial 16S ribosomal RNA
Rfam family: Bacterial small subunit ribosomal RNA
Source: RNAcentral